GCACUGCUGAGGAGUCCCAUACUCGGACGAAACGGCCGUCCAGUGA
This 46-nucleotide non-coding RNA is filed under the name Schistosoma curassoni. Lineage: Eukaryota; Metazoa; Platyhelminthes; Trematoda; Strigeidida; Schistosomatidae. The record is from RNAcentral.